This 254-nucleotide ribosomal RNA is filed under the name uncultured bacterium. Its description in RNAcentral is "partial 16S ribosomal RNA". It matches the Rfam family "Bacterial small subunit ribosomal RNA", at positions 524 to 776 of the family's 1533-position model. The record is from RNAcentral.
UACGUAGGGUGCAAGCGUUAAUCGGAAUUACUGGGCGUAAAGCGUGCGCAGGCGGUGAUGUAAGACAGGUGUGAAAUCCCCGGGCUUAACCUGGGAACUGCAUUUGUGACUGCAUCGCUGGAGUGCGGCAGAGGGGGAUGGAAUUCCGCGUGUAGCAGUGAAAUGCGUAGAUAUGCGGAGGAACACCGAUGGCGAAGGCAAUCCCCUGGGCCUGCACUGGACGCUCAUGCACGAAAGCGUGGGGAGCAAACAGG